Long non-coding RNA from Odocoileus virginianus texanus, 682 nucleotides. RefSeq lists it as uncharacterized. The record is from RefSeq and is a predicted model, not a curated record. NCBI's taxonomy places the organism in Eukaryota, Metazoa, Chordata, Mammalia, Artiodactyla, Cervidae.
UGCUGCCUUGGCGAGCCUGCUAGUCCGAGCCCUGGGGAUUCCUCCCGUCCUGCUCUCGGUUCAGUCAGCCGUUAUGUCGUUUCCGUGACCUCCUCCAACAGGGUUUUAGUGAUGUUUCUUGGGCCAUGUUUUGGAUUCUAAAAUCAGAAUGUUAAAUUCAGUUGUCUGAUAAGGCAAGGGAAACAAAAAUGAAAGUAAACAAAUGUGAUUGCAUCAAACAAAAAAGCUUCUACACAGCAAAAGAGAUCAUCAAUAAUGCGAAAAGACAACCUGCUGAUUGGGAGAAGAUUUGCAAAUUAUAUAACCUUUAAGUUUUUAAUGUCCAAAAUAUAUUAAAACCUUAAUACUUCUCAACAAAAAACCCACGUGACCCACUGAAACAAUAAGCAGAGGUACUGAAUGAACAUUUUCCAAACAGGACACACAGAUGACACCAGCAUGUGAAAAGAUGGCCAGCCGCACUCAUAUUUACGGAAACGCAAAUCUGUGGGUGUAGCUAUGAAGUGUGUUAUCAGCAUACAAAUUAAUGAUGCAAUUGACAUUUAAUAGCCCGAAGCUUUAUACCAAGCAUAUAAUAAAAUAAAACUUUCUCUUGUCCUUUAUUUUAUACUUGGUGGAAGGUGAACUACAAUUUGUAUCCAUAAAAUAAGAAUAAAGUUAAACACCUUGCCUUUAAGUAAUA